GACAGAGGCCUCGAGCGUUAGGCGGAAUCACUGGGCUUAAAGCGUGUGUAGGCGGAGGCGUAAGUACCUUGUGAAAUCCCACGGCUCAACUGUGGAACUGCUGGGUAUACUGCGUCUCUUGAGUCACUCAGGGGCGAGCGGAACAGAUGGUGGAGCGGUGAAAUGCGUAGAUAUCAUCUGGAACGCCAAUGGUGAAGACAGCUCGCUGGGGGUGUACUGACGCUGAGACACGAAAGCCAGGGGAGCGAACGGG
This 253-nucleotide ribosomal RNA is filed under the name uncultured bacterium. RNAcentral's name for it is "partial 16S ribosomal RNA". It matches the Rfam family "Bacterial small subunit ribosomal RNA", at positions 524 to 776 of the family's 1533-position model. The record is from RNAcentral.